GGUAAAAUGACUGAAUUUAAGUGAUAAAUUGUAAAUUUAUUUAUAAGAUUAAUAUCUUUUUUACUA
Molecule: transfer RNA, 66 nt
Filed under: Pamphilius sp. ZJUH_2016023
Lineage: Eukaryota; Metazoa; Arthropoda; Insecta; Hymenoptera; Pamphiliidae
Description: tRNA-Tyr
Source: RNAcentral